Molecule: long non-coding RNA, 2435 nt
Organism: Pyrgilauda ruficollis (rufous-necked snowfinch)
Lineage: Eukaryota; Metazoa; Chordata; Aves; Passeriformes; Passeridae
Exons: 5
Source: RefSeq, a predicted model, not a curated record
CGAGGGCAGCAGGCCGGAGACGAAGAGGCGCUGGCAGUGGCCCGGAGGUUCCCAGGCGGCGGGCGCCAGGCGCAGGAGGCGGCGGGCGACGCGCUGCUCCGCGGCGGUCAGCGACACAAUCGUUAGGGGUUGGAAGGCACCUCUGGAGAUCAUCUCGACCUACCCUCCUGCCAAGACAGGGUCACCUGGAUCAGGUAACACAGGAAGGCGUCCAGCAUAUUUGAGCAAUUGGUCUUAAAGCAAGACAGUACAAAUUCAAUCGAAGGACCAUUUGGGAAACUUAUUUGAGCUCAGGAUCACUGUGAUGAGAUGGUGCCUGUGGGUACAAAUCUUCAAACUCUAUGCUGUGCCUGUUGCACAGAUGUGAUAGUCCACAUAGCCAGAAGCGAUUACUCAAGUUGUGACUAUGUUUGGUGUGCAAAUAGCUGGAUCAAGCACCCACCAACCCUGCAAGGUUUGUGACGUGGAUCCAGAGAAAGCUGUGGUGGCAGUGAACUUGUCAGCACUGGAAAAGCUGAGCUUUAUGAGGAGAAUGUGAAGAAAUCAAUGUUAGGCACCCAGUGCAUGCUGGUGUCAGCAACUUAUACCAUUAUAAACCUUAUAUUUCUCUUAGGCUGCAGGUUACCUGCCAUUUGGAAGGUUACAGUUUUGGGCUUGAGUGGCUAGGUAUGACAACUACUAAGAUAUAAAAAUGCAUUGGUGAAGUCUUACAUGUAUCUUGCAAGGCUGAGUUCUGUUUUCACACACAGGUAAUCAGAUAUAAUAAGCAAUCAUCCGGUUCAAAACUCAUACUUCAUCACAAAUACACUUGUCACAUUACAAAAUAAUGAAUGAAUGAUACAGAAUGCUCUCGCCUCAUCUUGAAUCUUGUUCAAGAUUUUAUUCUUUAGGAUUUUCAAAGUUUUAAAAGAUGUUGGAGUACUGGUAGAAAAGCUCCAUGAAUUUCAUGUCAUUCAGAAAUGAAUGGUAAUUCAUGUGUUUCUUCUACCCUGCAUGUUAUAUACUGUUUGCCGUGAGCUGCUUACCCAGCACUUCAGUGACAUUUAGUGAUAUAUGGUACUUAUAUGAUAUAUAAAAGAUGCUGCUUUGUGCUUUACCUGUUAGAAAAUUAUCCAUAUGCAUUCAAGAUAACUUUGCCUCCAGAUUAUAAAUAAUUUGAAGCAUAUGUGACACUUAGACCACAUCCUAUUUCUUUCUGUACAAUCAGCAUUUUCUGAGUAGAUUAUGACAACAACUUUUCAUCUUGUACAUUAAUCAUUCCAACAUGUUUCAUUAACAGAUAUGUGAUUAUAGAUUUAGGAACAUACCAUACAUAGAUCCUUCUAAAAGUAGGAGCUAGUGCAUAUUUCUAUCUUUAGAUAACUAGUCAUAUAAAAAACAGAAAAGGUGUUUAAAAAUUCUUUAGCAUAGUUUUGGCAAUCUGGUUUUAAUGUGAGAUAAUUUUUUUAAAAGAGUCUCAGAGACUCAGGUUCUCAUCUGUGAAAUUUUGCAAGUUCUGCUCACAGUAAACAAACAUUGAUAAAUUCACUUGCAACAACUUCCAUCCUGUUUUUCUUUUCAACAAAGUUUAUCAGAAGAGUGAAAAACUUGAGUAUGAAUGUCUUUGAGAUUCAAUAAAUACACUAAAUAGUAUUAGUCUUUUAAACAGUCUACCUUGUUUGAUUCAAUAACAGAUCCAAAGGAAGUGCAAGGCAGCCAAAUGGCCAGAACACAGCAUCUUAAAGGGAAAAGAAAUCAGUGUGAGAACAUUAUAUAAUAGAACAAAGUAUUCCUUCUUCAUUCAGGUUUGGGUUUUUUUUUUUUCUGAAGGGUGGAUAACUGCCAGACUGACCAUAUUGCAUUAGAAGUGUCGCUGUUUGCAGUAAAUGUGAAAUGUAGGCAGUUUCAAUAGUCAAGAUUAGCCCAUCAGUCACUCCAAACUCAUCCUCUGUGAACUCAAAGAGACGUACAUCAAUCUGCAAACCUUUUUCUCCUGUACUGAAUUGUCCUAGCAUUCCCUCUGUGAAUUCCUACAAAAGUGCUCCUUUUCAGAGCUUCAUAGCCACAUCACAGCAAUUUCCCCUCACAUCAAGCUGAAUCAUUUCAUAUUGUCCAGUUUAACCAGUCCCAUCCACCUAGCAUAAGAUGUGACUGCUGGCUUAACUUUUUUUUUUUACCCCUAAAUUACCUGCUUGUAAUGUUCACAUGUAGAACUGAAAAAGUUUUCUAAAGUACAAAGUCUUGAACUUUAUCCAAGAUGAGGGAAAAGCAUUCUAUGUCAGACACUAUUUUGUAGUACCCAAUACCAUGCACUAGUCUCUGCUCCAAGAAACAGACAAGAAAAAUGUGUCUUGUCCACAUAAGGAAAAACUACAACAGUAUUAUACAUAUAUUUUGUACCUCAAUGGAUUAUAAAAUAAUUACAAGUUAUAAAAAAUAAACAGAAAGUACAAUGU